Molecule: long non-coding RNA, 294 nt
Filed under: Ananas comosus (pineapple)
Lineage: Eukaryota; Viridiplantae; Streptophyta; Magnoliopsida; Poales; Bromeliaceae
Description: long non-coding RNA (ACOM_LNC033228)
Source: RNAcentral
GGGGUUGCGACACAAACUUUCUAAAUUGUUGUAAUAAAGUUAUGUAGUCCAAUUCUGUUGCUAGAUAUUGGUAAUUUGCUGAUGUUAGUGAUAUGUAUCUAGAUUGUUAAAAUCGGAACGGCAAAAAAUAGAUCCAGAAAAUAACUUAAUGCACGAAAAGAAAAGAUAAGAGAAGAGCACACCGAUAUUUUACAUGGUUCGGCCAACGGUUUACGUCCACGAGUGAAGACGGAACAAUUACUUUAUUAAUGUCGAGAAGGCGGAGUAAAGAAAAUCUCUCGAAGAAACCGAAAA